RNAcentral lists this microRNA (22 nucleotides) under Lotus japonicus. Its description in RNAcentral is "lja-miR11129-3p". Lineage: Eukaryota; Viridiplantae; Streptophyta; Magnoliopsida; Fabales; Fabaceae. The record is from miRBase by way of RNAcentral.
UAUUAUUCUGUUUAUGGAAGGC